This 30-nucleotide non-coding RNA is filed under the name Mus musculus (house mouse). Lineage: Eukaryota; Metazoa; Chordata; Mammalia; Rodentia; Muridae. The record is from RNAcentral.
UCCUUUGAGCCUAACUCUCCUCUAAAGACC